CUGUGCAAAGGUAGCAUAAUCAUUAGUUUUUUAAUUGAAAGCUGGAAUGAAGGGUUUAAUGAGAAAAAUACUGUCUCAAUUUUAGUAAUUAAAAUUUUAUUUUUAAGUAAAAAAGCUUAAAUUUUUUAAUAAGACGAGAAGACCCUAUAGAGUUUGACAUUUAAGUAGUUUAUUUUUAUUAGGUUUUAAAAAUGGAAUUAAUUUUUAAAUGUUUUAUUGGGGUGAUAUGAAAAUAUAACAAACUUUUUAUUUAUUAUAUCAUAAAUUUAUGAAUAUUUGAUCCUAAGAUUUGGAUUUUAAGAUAAAAUUACCUUAGGGAUAACAGCGUAAUUUUUUUUGAGAGUUCUAAUCGAAAAAAAAGUUUGCGACCUCGAUGUUGGAUUAAAGUUAAAUUUUGGCGUAGAAGUUAAAAAUUUAGGUCUGUUCGACCUUUAAAGCU
This 439-nucleotide ribosomal RNA is filed under the name Ditylus laevis. RNAcentral's name for it is "partial 16S ribosomal RNA". The stretch from base 318 to 439 matches the Rfam family "Bacterial large subunit ribosomal RNA", at positions 2473 to 2595 of the family's 2925-position model. Lineage: Eukaryota; Metazoa; Arthropoda; Insecta; Coleoptera; Oedemeridae. The record is from RNAcentral.